UAAAAAAUUUGAAUUUUAAAACAUAAAUGUUGGCAUAAAUAUGCACUCAUCAGUUUACUAUAUAAAUAAGAAUUUGAAUAGAAUCUUUAUUUAUCUCUAGUCAUUAUUGUUAAUGAGUUUAAUGUAAAUCAAAAUAAACAGAAUCAAUUAUGUUUUUCAUGUAUAAAUUGUAUUCCACCAGAAAUGAAAGUAACAGAAGAAUAUACAGAGUACCUUUGUCUUCUCUUCUCCCGAAUCUCUCUUAGUCUUCGUUUCUUUGUUUUCUCCCUCUCCUUUGGAGUCUUU
RNAcentral lists this long non-coding RNA (285 nucleotides) under Vigna radiata. RNAcentral describes it as "long non-coding RNA (VRAD_LNC018468)". Lineage: Eukaryota; Viridiplantae; Streptophyta; Magnoliopsida; Fabales; Fabaceae. The record is from RNAcentral.